This 67-nucleotide transfer RNA is filed under the name Primolius couloni (blue-headed macaw). RNAcentral describes it as "tRNA-Cys". The record is from RNAcentral. Lineage: Eukaryota; Metazoa; Chordata; Aves; Psittaciformes; Psittacidae. RNAcentral also lists the same sequence under 1 other name.
GACUCUGUAGUGAAGUUCAUGUUGAGUUGCAAGCUCAUCGAUAUGCGCUUGGAGUGCAUCGGAGUCU